UACAGAGGUCCCGAGCGUUGUUCGGAUUCCUUGGGCGUAAAGGGUGCGUAGGCGGCGGAGCAAGUCUGAUGUGAAAUCCCGGGGCUCAACCCCGGAACUGCAUUGGAUACUGCUUUGCUAGAGUACUGGAGAGGGAACUGGAAUUUACGGUGUAGCAGUGAAGUGCGUAGAGAUCGUAAGGAAGGCCAGUGGCGAAGGCGAGUUCCUGGACAGUUACUGACGCUGAGGCACGAAGGCCAGGGGAGCAAACGGG
This 253-nucleotide ribosomal RNA is filed under the name uncultured bacterium. RNAcentral describes it as "partial 16S ribosomal RNA". It matches the Rfam family "Bacterial small subunit ribosomal RNA", at positions 524 to 776 of the family's 1533-position model. The record is from RNAcentral.